AAUCCAUAGGUUAAUGAGGCGAACCGGGGGAACUGAAACAUCUAAGUACCCCGAGGAAAAGAAAUCAACCGAGAUUCCCCCAGUAGCGGCGAGCGAACGGGGAGGAGCCCAGAGCCUGAAUCAGCAUGUGUGUUAGUGGAAGCGUCUGGAAAGGCGCGCGAUACAGGGUGACAGCCCCGUACACAAAAGCGCAUGUGCUGUGAGCUCGAUGAGUAGGGCGGGACACGUGGUAUCCUGUCUGAAUAUGGGGGGACCAUCCUCCAAGGCUAAAUACUCCUGACUGACCGAUAGUGAACCAGUACCGUGAGGGAAAGGCGAAAAGAACCCCGGCGAGGGGAGUGAAAAAGAACCUGAAACCGUGUACGUACAAGCAGUGGGAGCACAGGUUUACCUGUGUGACUGCGUACCUUUUGUAUAAUGGGUCAGCGACUUAUAUUCUGUAGCAAGGUUAACCGAAUAGGGGAGCCGGAGGGAAACCGAGUCUUAAUUGGGCGUUAAGUUGCAGGGUAUAGACCCGAAACCCGGUGAUCUAGCCAUGGGCAGGUUGAAGGUUGGGUAACACUAACUGGAGGACCGAACCGACUAAUGUUGAAAAAUUAGCGGAUGACCUGUGGCUGGGGGUGAAAGGCCAAUCAAACCGGGAGAUAGCUGGUUCUCCCCGAAAGCUAUUUAGGUAGCGCCUCGUGAAUUCAUCUCCGGGGGUAGAGCACUGUUUCGGCUAGGGGGCCAUCCCGGCUUACCAACCCGAUGCAAACUGCGAAUACCGGAGAAUGUUAUCACGGGAGACACACGGCGGGUGCUAACGUCCGUCGUGAAGAGGGAAACAACCCAGACCGCCAGCUAAGGUCCCAAAGUCAUGGUUAAGUGGGAAACGAUGUGGGAAGGCCCAGACAGCCAGGAUGUUGGCUUAGAAGCAGCCAUCAUUUAAAGAAAGCGUAAUAGCUCACUGGUCGAGUCGGCCUGCGCGGAAGAUGUAACGGGGCUAAACCAUGCACCGAAGCUGCGGCAGCGACACUGUGUGUUGUUGGGUAGGGGAGCGUUCUGUAAGCCUGCGAAGGUGGCCUGUGAGGGUUGCUGGAGGUAUCAGAAGUGCGAAUGCUGACAUAAGUAACGAUAAAGCGGGUGAAAAGCCCGCUCGCCGGAAGACCAAGGGUUCCUGUCCAACGUUAAUCGGGGCAGGGUGAGUCGACCCCUAAGGCGAGGCCGAAAGGCGUAGUCGAUGGGAAACGGGUUAAUAUUCCCGUACUUGGUGUUACUGCGAAGGGGGGACGGAGAAGGCUAUGUUGGCCGGGCGACGGUUGUCCCGGUUUAAGCGUGUAGGUGUGUGUUCCAGGUAAAUCCGGUUCACUUUAACACUGAGGCGUGACGACGAGGCACUACGGUGCUGAAGCAACAAAUGCCCUGCUUCCAGGAAAAGCCUCUAAGCAUCAGGUAACAUCAAAUCGUACCCCAAACCGACACAGGUGGUCAGGUAGAGAAUACCAAGGCGCUUGAGAGAACUCGGGUGAAGGAACUAGGCAAAAUGGUGCCGUAACUUCGGGAGAAGGCACGCUGACACGUAGGUGAAGUGAUUUACUCAUGGAGCUGAAGUCAGUCGAAGAUACCAGCUGGCUGCAACUGUUUAUUAAAAACACAGCACUGUGCAAACACGAAAGUGGACGUAUACGGUGUGACGCCUGCCCGGUGCCGGAAGGUUAAUUGAUGGGGUCAGCGCAAGCGAAGCUCCUGAUCGAAGCCCCGGUAAACGGCGGCCGUAACUAUAACGGUCCUAAGGUAGCGAAAUUCCUUGUCGGGUAAGUUCCGACCUGCACGAAUGGCGUAAUGAUGGCCAGGCUGUCUCCACCCGAGACUCAGUGAAAUUGAACUCGCUGUGAAGAUGCAGUGUACCCGCGGCAAGACGGAAAGACCCCGUGAACCUUUACUAUAGCUUGACACUGAACAUUGAGCCUUGAUGUGUAGGAUAGGUGGGAGGCUUUGAAGUGUGGACGCCAGUCUGCAUGGAGCCGACCUUGAAAUACCACCCUUUAAUGUUUGAUGUUCUAACGUGGACCCGUAAUCCGGGUUGCGGACAGUGUCUGGUGGGUAGUUUGACUGGGGCGGUCUCCUCCUAAAGAGUAACGGAGGAGCACGAAGGUUGGCUAAUCCUGGUCGGACAUCAGGAGGUUAGUGCAAUGGCAUAAGCCAGCUUGACUGCGAGCGUGACGGCGCGAGCAGGUGCGAAAGCAGGUCAUAGUGAUCCGGUGGUUCUGAAUGGAAGGGCCAUCGCUCAACGGAUAAAAGGUACUCCGGGGAUAACAGGCUGAUACCGCCCAAGAGUUCAUAUCGACGGCGGUGUUUGGCACCUCGAUGUCGGCUCAUCACAUCCUGGGGCUGAAGUAGGUCCCAAGGGUAUGGCUGUUCGCCAUUUAAAGUGGUACGCGAGCUGGGUUUAGAACGUCGUGAGACAGUUCGGUCCCUAUCUGCCGUGGGCGCUGGAGAACUGAGGGGGGCUGCUCCUAGUACGAGAGGACCGGAGUGGACGCAUCACUGGUGUUCGGGUUGUCAUGCCAAUGGCACUGCCCGGUAGCUAAAUGCGGAAGAGAUAAGUGCUGAAAGCAUCUAAGCACGAAACUUGCCCCGA
RNAcentral lists this ribosomal RNA (2620 nucleotides) under Salmonella enterica subsp. enterica serovar Essen. RNAcentral describes it as "partial 23S ribosomal RNA". It matches the Rfam family "Bacterial large subunit ribosomal RNA". Lineage: Bacteria; Pseudomonadati; Pseudomonadota; Gammaproteobacteria; Enterobacterales; Enterobacteriaceae. The record is from RNAcentral.